Molecule: ribosomal RNA, 506 nt
Filed under: uncultured bacterium
Lineage: Bacteria
Description: partial 16S ribosomal RNA
Rfam family: Bacterial small subunit ribosomal RNA
Source: RNAcentral
AGUGAACGCUGGCGGUAGGCCUAACACAUGCAAGUCGAACGGCAGCACAGAGGAGCUUGCUCCUUGGGUGGCGAGUGGCGGACGGGUGAGGAAUACAUCGGAAUCUACUCUGUCGUGGGGGAUAACGGAGGGAAACUUACGCUAAUACCGCAUACGACCUACGGGUGAAAGCAGGGGAUCUUCGGACCUUGCGCGACUGUAUGAGCCGACGUCGGAUUAGCUAUUUGGCGGGGUAAAGGCCCACCAAGGCGACGACCCGUAGCUGGUCUGAGAGGAUGAUCAGCCCCACUGGAACUGAGACACGAUCCAGACUCCUACUGGAGGCAGCAGUGGGGAAUAUUGGACAAUGGGCGCAAGCCUGAUCCAGCCAUACCGCGUGGGUGAAGAAGGCCUUCGGGUUGUAAAGCCCUUUUGUUGGGAAAGAAAUCCAUCUGGUUAAUACCCGGGUGGGAUGACGGUACCCAAAGAAUAAGCACCGGCUAACUUCGUGCCAGCCGCCGCGGUAA